UUUUGGCGAGGACUUAGCAGUCCCCAGGAGCCUCUCACUGAGCCCCAAACACACAGCCCCCAAUUCACCACCUCAUCCCUUACCAGGACCUGCUGAAGCACACACCUGUGGACCACCCAGACUGCCUGCCAGUACAGGAUGCCCUCCGCAUCUCCCGGGACUUCUUUCUGUCAUCAGUGAGGACAUUGACCCCGCUGGACUGCAGUCACAAUGGACUCCCAAUGGGGAGUACACGCAGCUACAUAUUGCAGUAUACGAAGGUCACACGGUGUGCCAUGGAGACAGGAAAGGCUGGAACAGAUGGUCGCAGCCCCAUUGAAGCCCUCCUGACUCUGAAGGUGGCUGAGGGGAAACUGGAAAUCCUCAUGGAGUAGAAACCAUCCAGAGCUGUGAUGAGAGGCAUCUGCCAGGUCUCCCCAGGACACUUCUGCAGCCCGACUGAAGGCAGCCCAGAGUCUCCCAUCCCCUGGGUGUGUUUUUUUAAAAUCUGUCCGUCAUGUAUGUAUUUGGGUUUGGUAUUUGGUUCCCUCAUUGUGUCUGUCGUUCUGUAUUUUUGUGUUAAUGCCAAAACCAUGUUGUUUGGAUCA
This is a non-coding RNA of Macaca mulatta (Rhesus monkey), 587 nucleotides long. The record is from RefSeq and is a predicted model, not a curated record. NCBI's taxonomy places the organism in Eukaryota, Metazoa, Chordata, Mammalia, Primates, Cercopithecidae.